AACGAACGCUGGCGGCAGGCUUAACACAUGCAAGUCGAACGCCCCGCAAGGGGCGUGGCAGACGGGUGAGUAACGCGUGGGAACAUACCCUUUCCUGCGGAAUAGCUCCGGGAAACUGGAAUUAAUACCGCAUACGCCCUACGGGGGAAAGAUUUAUCGGGGAAGGGUUGGCCCGCGUUGGAUUAGCUAGUUGGUGGGGUAAAGGCCUACCAAGGCGACGAUCCAUAGCUGGUCUGAGAGGAUGAUCAGCCACAUUGGGACUGAGACACGGCCCAAACUCCUACGGGAGGCAGCAGUGGGGAAUAUUGGACAAUGGGCGCAAGCCUGAUCCAGCCAUGCCGCGUGAGUGAUGAAGGCCUUAGGGUUGUAAAGCUCUUUCACCGAUGAAGAUAAUGACGGUAGUCGGAGAAGAAGCCCCGGCUAACUUCGUG
This 431-nucleotide ribosomal RNA is filed under the name uncultured bacterium. RNAcentral's name for it is "partial 16S ribosomal RNA". It matches the Rfam family "Bacterial small subunit ribosomal RNA", at positions 29 to 507 of the family's 1533-position model. The record is from RNAcentral.